UUUCUCUAGUUUCAAACAAAAGUGUGAUCGUCAAGUGUCAACUCUGGUUGCGUCUCUUUUUAUGGAUAAUUUGCUUAAUUAAAUGCUGUUCAGCAGGUAUUAAGGCCACGCCGGCCAUCAUAACCACAAGAUAUUCCAGUUUUACCUGUGCUUGUAUUCACCUCUGUCAUCAGCAAUCAUCUCAGCAUCAUCGAUUGGAUAAACAGCAUCUCUUUUGAUUGGAUAAACUACCGAUGGCGCUGUCGGUCGAGUUAGGGAUCUUUUCUUCUCCUUUCUUUAAAUUCCCUGUGUACAUCACCCCAUAUGUGUGUGGGUUUAUUCACGAGGACGCGGGAUGCCCUUUUUUCCAUCCCGCCUGGUCGAUUCAACUAUUCUGCGGAUGGAGCUCUUGUGGAUGCCUGGCCGUAUUUCCCAGGCUUAAAGCUCGCAGCCAAACCAAAAUCUGACCUGACAAGACGACCGGCCAUCUUCCUCCUAUUUCUCGGUAACUUUUGACAGGCAGUUGGGCUCUGCUGUUAGUCCUCCUGUCCCAAACAAAACGUUGGGCUUCCACUACAUAAAAGAUGAACAAAAAGCCAAGGCCGGUCGGGCGUCCCGUAAUAUGCGUACCAAGUGUAGAAGAAUCUUCCCGUUGUCUUGUCUCGUUUCAUCACGGACUGGCGCGUACGCCGGGACAUUGGGGCGUCGCGGCGCCAAUAGUCCGUCACUCCCGAAGGCGUCCCAGAAGAACCCUUUGAGCACCGAGCCAACAAUUAGGGGGGAAAAAAUGUUUUUCUGUAGAUGAAUCAAUGGAGCAACCAACGCCAACUAAGAAACGAAGAAACGAAGAAACAAAAGAAGAAGAGAGAUGCAAUCAAAAAUCAAUAUACCUACAGACUUUUGGGAGCUGCAGGAUUUGCGAGCUAGACAAGAGAGAAAUGAUACGCCAGCAGCCCAGAUGGGAAAUGAAAUGGGGGGGGGGGGAACAAUCAGCACCCUCCUUAUUAUUUCCCUCCUUCUUUCGUUGCACCCUCUUGAAUCUCUCUCGCUAUAAUAAUUCUCUUCAUUUUUUUUGUUUUGUUUUACGAAUAAAGAGAAGAAAUUCUAUCGA
Molecule: long non-coding RNA, 1090 nt
Organism: Daphnia pulicaria
Lineage: Eukaryota; Metazoa; Arthropoda; Branchiopoda; Diplostraca; Daphniidae
Exons: 4
Source: RefSeq, a predicted model, not a curated record